This 433-nucleotide ribosomal RNA is filed under the name uncultured bacterium. RNAcentral describes it as "partial 16S ribosomal RNA". It matches the Rfam family "Bacterial small subunit ribosomal RNA", at positions 29 to 507 of the family's 1533-position model. The record is from RNAcentral.
AACGAACGCUGGCGGCAUGCCUAACACAUGCAAGUCGAACGAGACCUUCGGGUCUAGUGGCGCACGGGUGCGUAACGCGUGGGAACCUGCCCUUAGGUUCGGAAUAACUCCCCGAAAGGGGUGCUAAUACCGGAUAAUGUCUUCGGACCAAAGAUUUAUCGCCUUUGGAUGGGCCCGCGUUGGAUUCGCUAGUUGGUAGGGUAAAAGCCUACCAAGGCGACGAUCCAUAGCUGGGUUGAGAGGAUGAUCAGCCACACUGGGACUGAGACACGGCCCAGACUCCUACGGGAGGCAGCAGUGGGGAAUAGUGGACAAUGGGCGAAAGCCUGAUCCAGCAAUGCCGCGUGAGUGAUGAAGGCCGUAGGGUUGUAAAGCUCUUUUACCCGGGAUGAUAAUGACAGUACCGGGAGAAUAAGCUCCGGCUAACUCCGUG